This 60-nucleotide transfer RNA is filed under the name Papilio slateri. RNAcentral's name for it is "tRNA-Ser". The record is from RNAcentral. Lineage: Eukaryota; Metazoa; Arthropoda; Insecta; Lepidoptera; Papilionidae.
GAAAUAUAAAAAUUAAGCUACUAACUUAACUUAUAGUAGAGAAUAUCUAUUAAUAUUUCU